AACCUGCCCAAGAGAUCGGGAUAACACCUGGAAACAGAUGCUAAUACCGGAUAACAACAGAUGAUGCCUAUCAACUGUUUAAAAGAUGGUUCUGCUAUCACUCUUGGAUGGACCUGCGGUGCAUUAGCUAGUUGGUAGGGUAACGGCCUACCAAGGCGAUGAUGCAUAGCCGAGUUGAGAGACUGAUGGCCACAUUGGGACUGAGACACGGCCCAAACUCCUACGGGAGGCAGCAGU
Molecule: ribosomal RNA, 237 nt
Filed under: uncultured Lactobacillus sp.
Lineage: Bacteria; Bacillati; Bacillota; Bacilli; Lactobacillales; Lactobacillaceae
Description: partial 16S ribosomal RNA
Rfam family: Bacterial small subunit ribosomal RNA
Source: RNAcentral